RNAcentral lists this ribosomal RNA (506 nucleotides) under uncultured eukaryote. RNAcentral describes it as "bacterial SSU rRNA". It matches the Rfam family "Eukaryotic small subunit ribosomal RNA", at positions 9 to 488 of the family's 1831-position model. The record is from RNAcentral.
UGAUCCUGCCAGUAGUCAUAUGCUUGCUUCAAGGACUCAGCCAUGCAAGUGUCGAGUAAAUGUUCUAACUGUUGAUCUGCAUACGGCUCAUUAUAACAGUUGUAAUAUACCUGCAUUUGUGGCUGUAACAAGCGAUCAAGUGGACAACUUCCUGGUAAAUCUGAAGCUAAUACACCAGCUUGCUGCAGGAGAAGGUCUCUGAUCUGAUCCUGACUGUUGGAAGCUUAUGGGUUCAAGAGAAACUGGUCAAUAAGAUUGAAUCUCUUCUGGUAUGAGCCCAUUCUGUACAAGGAUUUACUUCGUAGAACUGUGUGCGGUUGAGCGACUGACCUAUCAGCUUGUUUGCAAUGUAUUGGAUUGCAAAGGCUUUGACGGGUAACGGAGAAUUAGAGUUCGAUUCGUGGAGAGGGAGCCUGAGAGACGGCUGCCGUGUCCAAGGACAACAGCAGGCGCGCAAAUUGCCCAAUCUGGCAUGAGUGAGGCAGCAACGAGAAGUACUUACUUUG